GGUCCUUAGUUGCUACGCAAGAGCACUCUAGGGAGACUGCCGGUGACAAACCGGAGGAAGGUGGGGAUGACGUCAAGUCCUCAUGGCCCUUAUGGGUAGGGCUUCACACGUCAUACAAUGGUCGGAACAGAGGGUUGCCAACCCGCGAGGGGGAGCUAAUCCCAGAAAACCGAUCGUAGUCCGGAUUGCACUCUGCAACUCGAGUGCAUGAAGCUGGAAUCGCUAGUAAUCGCGGAUCAGCAUGCCGCGGUGAAUACGUUCCCGGGUCUU
Molecule: ribosomal RNA, 270 nt
Filed under: uncultured bacterium
Lineage: Bacteria
Description: partial 16S ribosomal RNA
Rfam family: Bacterial small subunit ribosomal RNA
Source: RNAcentral